GGCGCCGUGGCGUAGUGGUUAGCGCGCCUGCCUGUACCUAUCAGGUAAUGGGUUCAAGGCUCGUCGGUGCUA
Molecule: transfer RNA, 72 nt
Filed under: Ciona intestinalis (vase tunicate)
Lineage: Eukaryota; Metazoa; Chordata; Ascidiacea; Phlebobranchia; Cionidae
Rfam family: tRNA
About the family: Transfer RNA (tRNA) molecules are approximately 80 nucleotides in length. Their secondary structure includes four short double-helical elements and three loops (D, anti-codon, and T loops). Further hydrogen bonds mediate the characteristic L-shaped molecular structure. tRNAs have two regions of fundamental functional importance: the anti-codon, which is responsible for specific mRNA codon recognition, and the 3' end, to which the tRNAs corresponding amino acid is attached (by aminoacyl-tRNA synthetases). tRNAs cope with the degeneracy of the genetic code in two manners: having more than one tRNA (with a specific anti-codon) for a particular amino acid; and 'wobble' base-pairing, i.e. permitting non-standard base-pairing at the 3rd anti-codon position.
Source: Rfam by way of RNAcentral